Molecule: long non-coding RNA, 266 nt
Filed under: Heterocephalus glaber (naked mole-rat)
Lineage: Eukaryota; Metazoa; Chordata; Mammalia; Rodentia; Bathyergidae
Description: lncRNA (ENSHGLG00100052384.1)
Source: RNAcentral
GGACCCCCGGGCGGGCUCCGGGGGCUCUUCGCUGGGCUGUGGAGGAAAGCCGUGAAAGGAGUGUGCGGCUCUGUCCUCGCUACGGUUACUCCGCCCGCACACGGUGGGGGUCGCGCCGCGCCUCGUUUCUUUAAUUCCUGGCAGACGGUGCCGAGAUUGUGGACGGAGACGCGCUGGGGCAGAGACUAUGUGAUCGCGUCGGUAUCUGAGUAGAGGACUUCGCUUCGGGGAGGGAAGAGGAGGGAUCGGCGCGCUCCUCCGCGGCG